Molecule: long non-coding RNA, 1014 nt
Organism: Leptinotarsa decemlineata (Colorado potato beetle)
Lineage: Eukaryota; Metazoa; Arthropoda; Insecta; Coleoptera; Chrysomelidae
Source: RefSeq, a predicted model, not a curated record
ACCAUCAGUACGGGUACAAAAAGCCAGUGCUUUUACUAACACUGAGAUGGACUAUUUUGGCCGUUCAAAAUUAUUUUCGGGAUUUAAAAGAUUCAUAUCUGGAAGAGGUCCUGUUCGUGCUCUACAUUCGGUUAUCAUUGGAUUUCAACUAGUCGAUCGAAUGGUUCAAGAUUUUUGGAACCGCUGAAGAGGAAGUGGUGAAAAAUAAGUGGGAGAAUCUACGAGAAAGGUUCAAAAAAGAACUGAACAAAAUAUCGAAGCACCGAUCUGAAAACGCCUUUCGGCACAAUGGCACUUAGUGACAUUUUGAAUUAAUGAUGUUUUUGAAAUCUAUAUCACCACCUAAGGUGACAGAAGGUGAUAUGGAGUAUUCCGAAAGUACUUCUCAUGCUACCCAGUUGGCUCAGGAAUGUGAAACUGAAAUUGCAAUAACAUCGAAACCUUCAAAAACAAAAUCUGAUAAAGAACUUGAAUACGACGAACUUCUCACUGCUUGGUACAGCUUCUUCUGAACCACCAACAAAACAAGUCACCCAUGUUUCUCGACAACAACGAAACGAUGACUUGGAAAAAGUGAUAUCAGGAAAAGAAACUCCAAUCAACCCUAUUGUAAUACAAUGGAAGCGAAAGGCACCAGUAAGAAAUGUAUGGAACUUAGAGAUGAAGAAUUUUAAAAAUUAGAAGCUGAAAAAGUUGCGUUAUUAGAAAAAAAAUAAUGAAGAUAAUGAAUAUAUAAUUUAUUUUAAUCCCUACUUCCUCAUGUAGGAUAACUUACGUCUCUGAGGAACUUUCUUUUAGAAGUCAGGUUCAGAAUCUUUUGGCUGAAGAAAUAUGGAAACUAAAGAACGAUCGACAUUCCUAUAUAAUCAUCUCAUCUCAUCAACAGCGUUCGCAUACUUCUAGCGCUCCAUCUCCUACUUCAAGUAGGAGUAACCUUUUUCUUUGCACCAGUCUCACCAGCGGAACAUCUACAGCCACGACUUUUGGAACCCACAACAUUACGUAAUUCACAAU